RNAcentral lists this transfer RNA (92 nucleotides) under Bacillota bacterium. Its description in RNAcentral is "Firmicutes bacterium (anaerobic digester metagenome) tRNA-Ser". It matches the Rfam family "tRNA". Rfam says of the family: Transfer RNA (tRNA) molecules are approximately 80 nucleotides in length. Lineage: Bacteria; Bacillati; Bacillota. RNAcentral also lists the same sequence under 1 other name. The record is from RNAcentral.
GGAGAGAUGGCCGAGUCCGGUUGAAGGCGCGCGACUCGAAAUCGCGUAACGGUGAGAGCCGUUCGUGGGUUCGAAUCCCACUCUCUCCGCCA